AAAGCAUCUGCCAAAAAGCCACCAAGUAGAGCAAGGAGGAAGGCUGUGCCCAUGAAAUUGGUAACAAUGUUUGCAGAGCUGGAUGGUGAAAAAUGCAUGAACUUUGAAAGAUACAGCACAAGGUUGCUUGCAUUGGCCAGGUAUGCUAGAUUCUCCAGUACCUCCACAGCUUUUCGACAAUAUAGCAAUUCUAAUCAGUAAGCCUCGUGAUUCUAGUGCUUAUUCAUAUCAGCAUGCAAAUAUAUUAUUUCUCUUAAUAUAUAAAUUCUUUUACAAUAAAGUAUGAUUGUUUGACGGUACGCAGCAGCUAAAGUUUUUACAUUAUGGUAAGCCCGUGACAAAACGGUGGAAAAUGUGCUUUAGUAAAUAGGAAAAAUAUACCGACCCAAGACAAAACAAGCAGCAAGCAUGCCACCAUGACGGCCUCUCAGGGCAGGUUUAUUCCUCCAGUCUACAUAACCUUCCCAUGUGUUUAGCUGGCAUAUCCCGUCCUACAAAAUGACCCAAGGAGGUGAUAAAACAUGCCAAGAUACGAUUAAGGGAAGAGAAACAAGAGAUAAAAGACAGAAUCCCACCAUUGUAAUAUCUAAUUUUAGAACUUUUUGUUGAACUUCGAGUUAUAGAGGACCUUAUGAAGAAUUUCCCGAACAACCUAGUUUGCUAGUAGUAUGUGGAGUCUUAUAUAUAUAGACAAUAGAUUGAGAAAUUGGGGGUCCAAUAGGCCGUAGAGAAAGGUCUAGACUUAUUGAAAAUGACUAUUCAUUUUCCUUUUAAUUUGCAAAGCUUGACAUUUUGUACACAUGAGAGAGAAAGGGAAUACUUGGUCAGAAUGAGACCUGAAACGGAAAGAGAGAAUUAAAGUUAAACAAGGAAGCAAUAGACUACUAUGAUUAAUGAGCGACAUGUGACUUGAAAUGGUAAUGCUAAUCAUGAAAAUAACUCUAAUGAAAUAAUAUAAUUUUCUCUAAAGCUAAGUAUACAGGUGUGAGAAGGUGAUUAUCCUCCAAGAUAUUGGAACUUGGUGUUGGACGAAUUCCAGGAUAAACUGUGCAAUAUGUAGUUGUCAAUGUAGAUGGAUAGCACAAAAUGAGAUAUAAAUUAAACAAAGCCAAGUUAGUGGACUAGAUUAAAUCAUAUCAUAAUGGUAUGUUCUUGUGCUUGAAGAUAGAAACUAAAUCUUUUAGCUUUUUAGAUAUGCCCCAUAUCCAUACACGAAUGUACAAUCUCUCACCCUGGUAGUGGGAACACCACUGAGUGUUAAAGGCUAGCUAAUCCCCAGAGAUCAAUAAUUUGUCUACUUACACCAUCUUUGUAUUAUCCUAAUAUGGCCUUUCCUAACAUAUAUAGAAUGAUGUAUGUUUAUUAUUUUUAUUUUUAAUAUAUAUACAAUCCUAACAUGAACCUGUAAUUCUAUUUAUCCAUUUCUUUAAUGAAAUCAAGCGCAUCAGUAAUUUUAUCAUUUGGCUCUAUUCUAUUCAUCUGAUCGUCUUUCUUUCAUGUUCUUGCUGCACAAUGAUAUUGGACUGUAUUGUUUCUUUAUGGUUAAGUACCCAUGCGGUAGACGAACUAUUGUCUUCCGCCAUUGUCCGGUAGAGUCGGUUGCCUUUGAGGGCCACCUGAAAUUCCUUAAUUCCCUUUUCAAUCAAAUAUGUGAAUAUGACAUUCCGGAUAGGUUGUUGGUCCAUGAGAUCUCCAAAUUGAGUGGCUAAUAUCCUAAUUAAGGGGUCCUACUAAACAAGCAUUUACUUCCAUUUAUUGUUACCCCGGGCCUGUAUUAGUUUUACGCUUGUGCAUGCAGAAAUGAUUAACAUUUCAGUUCAAGAGAACUCUCAUGAGAAGAAAGGAUUAACAUUUUAUUACUGCAAAGCAUAAACAAAAAAAGAUUACCAAAGGAAAAAAUAGCUGUAGGCCAAUCACCAAUGUUAUGGCAAUGUGGCACGGAAACCUUCUACAUUCAAAUAAGUAAACUCUAAAGUUCUAAACCAACAGCAUGUUGAUUGGAUAAAUGGUGCAAGUGCAUGGACCAGUUUAAUUUUGUGCUUCUUUGCUCAUACGGUGAUACUAUUGGAAUAAAUAAUGGAAUAAUUAAUCCCUUAGCUUUUCUGUUGCCCGCGGAUCAUAUUCCGGAGAGCUUAUUACCCCCACCGUAUGAUUUGAAAGUUGAGUUGAAAGUGAUUUUGUUUUCAAAGCAGGUUAUAUUCUGAUUCUUCCUUCUUCCUUCUUGCAGAUUGUAGGAUCUCCGAGAAAUUAAUUAGUGACUUUUCAUAUAGAAGAAUAUUAGAAUUUUUUCCGGAAGAAAAUUCAAUGAAUAUGUAAAAGUUACUUAGACAUGCAGC
Molecule: long non-coding RNA, 2336 nt
Filed under: Citrus sinensis (sweet orange)
Lineage: Eukaryota; Viridiplantae; Streptophyta; Magnoliopsida; Sapindales; Rutaceae
Description: long non-coding RNA (CSIN_LNC001889)
Source: RNAcentral